This 592-nucleotide ribosomal RNA is filed under the name Crossaster borealis. Its description in RNAcentral is "partial 16S ribosomal RNA". It matches the Rfam family "Bacterial large subunit ribosomal RNA", at positions 1816 to 2597 of the family's 2925-position model. Lineage: Eukaryota; Metazoa; Echinodermata; Asteroidea; Velatida; Solasteridae. The record is from RNAcentral.
CGCUCUUUGUAAAGAAUCUUAAGAAUAAGGAGUCCUGCCUGCCCGGUGACUAUUUUAGUUAAACGGCCGCGGUAUCUUGACCGUGCGAAGGUAGCAUAAUCAUUUGCCUUUUAAAUUGGGGCUGGAAUGAAUGGCAAGACGGGAAUUAAGCUGUCUCUCUCUUAUAAUUUGAAAUUAAUGUUUUUGUGAAGAAGCAGAAAUAUGGUCGUAGGACGAGAAGACCCUAUCGAGCUUUAAUAUAGGAAAAUGUAAUAUAUUUGUUAUUGUUUUAUGCUAAUUAGAAAUUAAUAAUUUCUUUUAUAAUUACUGUAAGUACAAUAAUGUUGUGCAUAUUUUAUUUGGAUUGGGGCAAUCACGGAGAAUAAUUACCCUCCGUUAUUUUUUUAAAAAAAAAUCUUUUUAUAUUUGAGAGUUUCAAUUGAAGUGAUCCACUAGAAUAGGUGAAAAGAAGAAUAAGUUACCGUAGGGAUAACAGCGUAAUUUUUUUGGAGAGUUCAUAUUGAUAAAAAAGUUUGCGACCUCGAUGUUGGAUCGGGAUUUCCUGGGGAUGCAGCAGUUCCUAAUGGUUGGUCUGUUCGACCAUUAAAAUCCU